This 371-nucleotide long non-coding RNA is filed under the name Daucus carota (carrot). RNAcentral's name for it is "long non-coding RNA (DCAR_LNC002962)". Lineage: Eukaryota; Viridiplantae; Streptophyta; Magnoliopsida; Apiales; Apiaceae. The record is from RNAcentral.
AUCAGACAGGGUUUGUUAAGAAUCAGCAGCAACAGACCAACAAGGUGGCGGCUCAUCGUACUAACGGCGAGGGUGCUCAACACAUGAGCUUAGUUGAGCUGCAGAAGGGUCACAGUGUGAAUGGGAAUGGUGGGGCCCACCAGAUGAUGAGGAAUAAUAAUGGGGUGGGGGUGGAUGUGAGGAGAAAUGGUGGUGAUGAUGAUGGGGAGAGUUAUAAGCAGGAGAUGAGGGAUUUGGAGGAAAUGUUGUCGAAAUUGAAUCCUAUGGCUGAGGAGUUUGUGCCGCCUUCGCUUGUUGUUAAUUAUAAGCCAGUGGUGCAGCCGAUUGUUCCCGGGGGUGCUCAUUUUGGAUAUGUCGUUGCUGAUAAUAAU